CCUACGGGAGGCAGCAGUGGGGAAUAUUGCACAAUGGUGGCAACCCUGAUGCAGCGACGCCGCGUGAGUGAAGAAGUAUUUCGGUAUGUAAAGCUCUAUCAGCAGGGAAGAAAAAAGACGGUACCUGACUAAGAAGCCCCGGCUAACUACGUGCCAGCAGCCGCGGGAAUACGUAGGGGGCAAGCGUUAUCCGGAUUUACUGGGUGUAAAGGGAGCGUAGACGGUGCGUCAAGUCUGAAGUGAAAGCCCGAGGCUUAACCCCGGGACUGCUUUGGAAACUGGCGCGCUAGAGUGCUGGAGAGGUAAGUGGAAUUCCUAGUGUAGCGGUGAAAUGCGUAGAUAUUAGGAGGAACACCAGUGGCGAAGGCGGCUUACUGGACAGUAACUGACGUUGAGGCUCGAAAGCGUGGGGAGCAAACAGGAUUAGAUACCCCUGUAGUC
This 441-nucleotide ribosomal RNA is filed under the name uncultured bacterium. Its description in RNAcentral is "partial 16S ribosomal RNA". It matches the Rfam family "Bacterial small subunit ribosomal RNA", at positions 338 to 795 of the family's 1533-position model. The record is from RNAcentral.